AGAGUUUGAUCCUGGCUCAGGAUGAACGCUAGCUACAGGCUUAACACAUGCAAGUCGAGGGGCAUCAUGAUCGAAGCUUGCUUUGAUUGAUGGCGACCGGCGCACGGGUGCGUAACACGUAUCCAAUCUACCCAUGGCUCGGGGAUAGCCUUUCGAAAGAAAGAUUAAUACCCGAUGGUCUCCUUUCAGGCCAUCCUGUUAGGAGUAAAGAUUCAUCGGCGAUGGAUGAGGAUGCGUCCGAUUAGGUAGUAGGCGGGUAACGGCCCACCUAGCCGACGAUCGGUAGGGGUUCUGAGAGGAAGGUCCCCCACACUGGAACUGAGACACGGUCCAGACUCCUACGGGAGGCAGCAGUGAGGAAUAUUGGUCAAUGGGCGCGAGCCUGAACCAGCCAAGUAGCGUGAGGGAGGACGGCCCUACGGGUUGUAAACCUCUUUGUACGGGAAUAAAGUGCGGGACGUGUCCCGUUUGUAUGUACCGUACGAAUAAGCAUCGGCUAAUUCCGUGCC
RNAcentral lists this ribosomal RNA (509 nucleotides) under uncultured bacterium. Its description in RNAcentral is "bacterial SSU rRNA". It matches the Rfam family "Bacterial small subunit ribosomal RNA", at positions 8 to 509 of the family's 1533-position model. The record is from RNAcentral.